This 345-nucleotide ribosomal RNA is filed under the name Bacillus cereus. RNAcentral's name for it is "bacterial SSU rRNA". It matches the Rfam family "Bacterial small subunit ribosomal RNA", at positions 1 to 333 of the family's 1533-position model. Lineage: Bacteria; Bacillati; Bacillota; Bacilli; Caryophanales; Bacillaceae. The record is from RNAcentral.
UUUAUUGGAGAGUUUGAUCCUGGCUCAGGAUGAACGCUGGCGGCGUGCCUAAUACAUGCAAGUCGAGCGAAUGGAUUAAGAGCUUGCUCUUAUGAAGUUAGCGGCGGACGGGUGAGUAACACGUGGGUAACCUGCCCAUAAGACUGGGAUAACUCCGGGAAACCGGGGCUAAUACCGGAUAACAUUUUGAACCGCAUGGUUCGAAAUUGAAAGGCGGCUUCGGCUGUCACUUAUGGAUGGACCCGCGUCGCAUUAGCUAGUUGGUGAGGUAACGGCUCACCAAGGCAACGAUGCGUAGCCGACCUGAGAGGGUGAUCGGCCACACUGGGACUGAGACACGGCCCA